UAAGGAAUUUGGUGAUGUCUCUCCUUUCAAAUUAUUCAAUUUUAUCAAUAAUAGCUUGCAAGACUUUUGUAGUAUCCUUGCCACACUCUUGAAUUUAUUAUUAUUAUUCUAUGAAUUGUGCAAAUACAAAAAAAAGUCAUUUGAAGCAACUCCUCUUGGAAUUCCAAAACUUAAAUCAACAUCCUCCAUUAUUCCUAGUAGAAUAAUAAGUGCCUCAAGUCUCUCUCAAUUGAAGCACCAAUAUGUCGUAAAAAAAAAAAAAUCUUCAAGAAAAUAUUUGACUUUUAAUUGCUACUGAUUGCUUUACUAUCAUGUUACUUUAGAAUAUACACAACACUCUAUAAAUAAAACUCUUUUGUAACUCACUUGCCCUCAUAUUAACAAUUUUUUAUUU
Molecule: long non-coding RNA, 394 nt
Filed under: Physcomitrium patens
Lineage: Eukaryota; Viridiplantae; Streptophyta; Bryopsida; Funariales; Funariaceae
Description: long non-coding RNA (PPAT_LNC000397)
Source: RNAcentral